This 696-nucleotide transfer RNA is filed under the name Gammaproteobacteria sp. Y81. Its description in RNAcentral is "partial may contain 16S ribosomal RNA, 16S-23S ribosomal RNA intergenic spacer, and 23S ribosomal RNA". The stretch from base 229 to 302 matches the Rfam family "tRNA". The record is from RNAcentral. Lineage: Bacteria; Pseudomonadati; Pseudomonadota; Gammaproteobacteria.
GGAACCUCCUUUCUAGGAUGUUCCUAGUCACUUGAGCUUGCUCAAGUCAUGGAACACUUAGCAGCUGCAAUCAAAGCAGCAUAUAUAGAGCCGAGCCGUCCUCAUAUCUCUUCAGACAUUGGUAGUCGCCGACGAGCGACAGGCCAACGGGGCCUUAGCUCAGCUGGGAGAGCAUCUGCUUUGCAAGCAGAGGGUCAUCGGUUCGAUCCCGAUAGGCUCCACCAGUUAGGGUCGGUAGCUCAGUUGGUUAGAGCGCACGCCUGAUAAGCGUGAGGUCGGAGGUUCAAAUCCUCCUCGACCCACCAGCAUCCCGAUUUGACCGUAAAGCACUUGUUCAGUGUUUUGCCGUCCAAUCGGACGCAUGAUUUUGACAUCGUUUAGAGAGAAUAUAUCAGAACCAUCGGUUCGGCCGCGUCAGGCCGCACCCCGGGCACCGCCCGGAGCAGAUGGUUUUGUUCCAAGUCAAGUACACUAACCUAUGUCUUCCCCGUGCCUCGCAUGGGCUGGGGAAGGCGGGAAACGUAUGACUUUCGGUUCGGAAAGAACUCGGUUCUUGGUUCUGCGGCACGCGGCGUUGCCGGGACAGCAAUGUCCUCAAGUAGCGCUCCGCGCGGUAGGACACUCAAGAGCCUUGCUUUUUCUGGAUCGGAUCAAGCGCGAAAAGGGCGUUUGGUAGGCCCCUGGGAAAACCUUGGC